Molecule: unclassified non-coding RNA, 1049 nt
Filed under: Leishmania donovani
Lineage: Eukaryota; Euglenozoa; Kinetoplastea; Trypanosomatida; Trypanosomatidae
Description: gene:unknown
Source: RNAcentral
UGCAUUUUCAUGUGUUUCAAGAACUACUUCGCCGCAGGUGCUCGCAGGGCGGUGCUUUGGCGAAAAGGUCGUGCAGACGGUCGCCUCACCGGCACACAAUUUAACAAGCGCGUUCGGACACCUUUUCACGAGAGGGCGAUGAUGAACGAAGUGAACGGUAAUACCACACGCCGAACCUACAACGUGUUUGAUUCUAAGGUUGUUCAGCAAGAGCUCCGCGGCGCUAGGCGAAGCACCAAUUAUUCUCAAUUGGCUUCACAAAACGUCCUGCGCCAGAUUAAAGCUGAUAAGCGACAGCAGCGAGUGUCCCACUCUUCUAGCCAUAAGUUUCUCCCUCUCUGAAAAAGUCCACUUGUCUUUUCGUUUUUUUCCUGAGGGAAUCCGUUGCUGCGUAGCUUCGCUUGCUCUACGAAGGUGAAAAGCUGCGGUGCUUUUUUGUCUGCUGCUACCAAUGCUCUACCGGAAUAAUACGCUAAGCGAAAAGAAAUCUCUUUUCUCGGCAUUGCUGGCAAAUACACCACCUGCAAUUGAUUCAAAGUGUCACGGACACAGGCGAUGGCCGGUCUUCGCAGGUUUGAUUUGAUCUUGUUGAAAUCUCUUCAGUCAGUACCGUUCUGCGCCAAUUUGCGCCUUUUCCCCCUCUAGAAUGGAUGUGCAUCGAUGCCAAGUAUCUUGGCGCAUUGUUUUUGUUGUGAAAAAAAAGGGCUUUUCAUAAAAGACGCAAUAUGUGUCCGCAUUUCACUAAUGAGAAAAAUAGAGAGCCUAAGCGGUCUGCGAUGCGGUAACCCACGCAUGUGCUGCUCGGACUGCGCGAAGAAACCCACCACUUUCACUGAGGUGAAACAGAAUGAAAUGCCUUGCUAGUAUGAAUUUUUUUGUCUUGCCGCAUGCUCGUGCAUGACAAUCAUUUCUUUAGCUCUAUUGAACGCAGCUUUCGUGAAUUGAGAUGUCACCUUAACUUGAAUGCUUCAUUUUUCUUAUAUGCUUGCACCUCUUUAAUAAUAUGUACUAUAUACAUAUAUAUCUUUUUUUUCGUAUCGUCGUUGAAG